This 84-nucleotide transfer RNA is filed under the name Saprospiraceae bacterium. Its description in RNAcentral is "tRNA-Tyr". It matches the Rfam family "tRNA". Rfam says of the family: Transfer RNA (tRNA) molecules are approximately 80 nucleotides in length. Their secondary structure includes four short double-helical elements and three loops (D, anti-codon, and T loops). Lineage: Bacteria; Pseudomonadati; Bacteroidota; Saprospiria; Saprospirales; Saprospiraceae. The record is from RNAcentral.
GGGAGUGCGCCGGAGUUGGAGAGCCGGGGCAGACUGUAAAUCUGUUGUCUACGACUGAGUAGGUUCGAAUCCUACCACUCCCAC